GCCCCGCCCGCCCCCACUGUGCACAGCCCCGAGCGCACUGGCCCGGGAGGAGGCACAAGCCCGACGGACUCUGCGUGGGUCGCGCGACUGGCGACAGGCAGAGCGUCAUCACAACUGCAAUCCCAUGUUGCCUUACGGAUAGCCACGGGGAUGUACGGACACGUGAGAGAGGACACUGGAUCAACUGCUGCCUCUUAAAAGCUUUCUUCAGUUGUUUUUCUCAUGUUUCUUGAAGUAAAAGUGUCACAAGCAUUCACAGUAUGACUAUAACGUACACAUGCAAUAAUUCAAAAUAUAAUCACAUCAUAAUUCAAAGUAAAAUAACAUACUCAGCUUUUUUUUUCAGUAAUUAAGGUGUGUUGGGUUUUCUUCUGCAUUCUUUGGCAGUUUACUCAUAUUCAGCUUGCUUACAUUAAAUCAAUAGUGCAUUUAAGUUACUGAUAGAACUCCACCGGCUUCACGGAAGUCAGGAUUUCCCUCCCCCAUUCCUGUUUUCAAAAUUGCUUUUGGUUCUUUCCUACUAAUAACAGAUGAGUUUUCUGUACUCAGGUAGGAUGGAUUUUCACUCUAGUCAACCUAAAAUUCAAUUUGUGAACAAUAUACCAUGGGGGGGGGGGGGGGAAGCAUGUUCUUACUUUCACUGAAUAUACAGAGUGUAUAUUUCAAACCUAUAUGGUCAAACUAUAAAUAAAGGUUAUUGAUAAUGUG
Long non-coding RNA from Strigops habroptila (Kakapo), 708 nucleotides. RefSeq lists it as uncharacterized. NCBI's taxonomy places the organism in Eukaryota, Metazoa, Chordata, Aves, Psittaciformes, Psittacidae. The transcript has 2 exons. The record is from RefSeq and is a predicted model, not a curated record.